UAGAACUCUUGCUUGGAAUUGUUACAGAUCUUUGACCACCAAGAGGGAAGCUGACUCUGAGAUCAUGCAUCUGGUGGAUUCUUGACCACUGCACCCCCUGGGAAGCCCCAUUCCUGGUAUGAAGAUGCUGUAUUUCCUGCUGGAGAUCCUUGAGGUACAGACCCAUCCCUCUUCUUCCCUUCUCCACCAAAACAUAUCAGCAUGGCGGCCCACAUUUCUUGCCAUGGUUUUCUGCCGGUUCACUUGCUCCUGCGACGACUCCAACCUAAUCGGGCCUCACAGAACCCUCUCCUAGAGCAGGUCUCACUGACUGAACACUAAAAUCACUUGAAAAGCUAUAAAUACAGAUGUCUCAUUCCA
Molecule: long non-coding RNA, 360 nt
Organism: Odocoileus virginianus texanus
Lineage: Eukaryota; Metazoa; Chordata; Mammalia; Artiodactyla; Cervidae
Source: RefSeq, a predicted model, not a curated record